CGGAGCUUGCUCCACCGGAAAAAGAAGAGUGGCGAACGGGUGAGUAACACGUGGGUAACCUGCCCAUCAGAAGGGGAUAACACUUGGAAACAGGUGCUAAUACCGUAUAACAAUCGAAACCGCAUGGUUUUGAUUUGAAAGGCGCUUUCGGGUGUCGCUGAUGGAUGGACCCGCGGUGCAUUAGCUAGUUGGUGAGGUAACGGCUCACCAAGGCCACGAUGCAUAGCCGACCUGAGAGGGUGAUCGGCCACAUUGGGACUGAGACACGGCCCAAACUCCUACGGGAGGCAGCAGUAGGGAAUCUUCGGCAAUGGACGAAAGUCUGACCGAGCAACGCCGCGUGAGUGAAGAAGGUUUUCGGAUCGUAAAACUCUGUUGUUAGAGAAGAACAAGGAUGAGAGUAACUGUUCAUCCCUUGACGGUAUCUAACCAGAAAGCCACGGCUAACUACGUGCCAGCAGCCGCGGUAAUACGUAGGUGGCAAGCGUUGUCCGGAUUUAUUGGGCGUAAAGCGAGCGCAGGCGGUUUCUUAAGUCUGAUGUGAAAGCCCCCGGCUCAACCGGGGAGGGUCAUUGGAAACUGGGAGACUUGAGUGCAGAAGAGGAGAGUGGAAUUCCAUGUGUAGCGGUGAAAUGCGUAGAUAUAUGGAGGAACACCAGUGGCGAAGGCGGCUCUCUGGUCUGUAACUGACGCUGAGGCUCGAAAGCGUGGGGAGCAAACAGGAUUAGAUACCCUGGUAGUCCACGCCGUAAACGAUGAGUGCUAAGUGUUGGAGGGUUUCCGCCCUUCAGUGCUGCAGCUAACGCAUUAAGCACUCCGCCUGGGGAGUACGACCGCAAGGUUGAAACUCAAAGGAAUUGACGGGGGCCCGCACAAGCGGUGGAGCAUGUGGUUUAAUUCGAAGCAACGCGAAGAACCUUACCAGGUCUUGACAUCCUUUGACCACUCUAGAGAUAGAGCUUCCCCUUCGGGGGCAAAGUGACAGGUGGUGCAUGGUUGUCGUCAGCUCGUGUCGUGAGAUGUUGGGUUAAGUCCCGCAACGAGCGCAACCCUUAUUGUUAGUUGCCAUCAUUUAGUUGGGCACUCUAGCAAGACUGCCGGUGACAAACCGGAGGAAGGUGGGGAUGACGUCAAAUCAUCAUGCCCCUUAUGACCUGGGCUACACACGUGCUACAAUGGGAAGUACAACGAGUCGCGAAGUCGCGAGGCUAAGCUAAUCUCUUAAAGCUUCUCUCAGUUCGGAUUGUAGGCUGCAACUCGCCUACAUGAAGCCGGAAUCGCUAGUAAUCGCGGAUCAGCACGCCGCGGUGAAUACGUUCCCGGGCCUUGUACACACCGCCCGUCACACCACGAGAGUUUGUAACACCCGAAGUCGGUGAGGU
RNAcentral lists this ribosomal RNA (1382 nucleotides) under Enterococcus durans. Its description in RNAcentral is "bacterial SSU rRNA". It matches the Rfam family "Bacterial small subunit ribosomal RNA", at positions 74 to 1436 of the family's 1533-position model. The record is from RNAcentral. Lineage: Bacteria; Bacillati; Bacillota; Bacilli; Lactobacillales; Enterococcaceae.